RNAcentral lists this ribosomal RNA (1462 nucleotides) under uncultured bacterium. RNAcentral describes it as "16S ribosomal RNA". It matches the Rfam family "Bacterial small subunit ribosomal RNA". The record is from RNAcentral.
UGAACGCUAGCGACAGGCUUAACACAUGCAAGUCGAGGGGCAGCGGGGGUGGAGCUUGCUCCACCCGCCGGCGACCGGCGCACGGGUGAGUAACACGUAUGGAACCUGCCCUGCACAGGGGGAUAAGCGAAAGAAAUUUCGUCUAAUACCGCAUAACACCGCCGAGAGGCAUCUCUUGGCAGUCAAAGGGAGCAAUCCCGGUGCAGGAUGGCCAUGCGGCGCAUUAGCUGGUUGGCGGGGUAACGGCCCACCAAGGCGACGAUGCGUAGGGGUUCUGAGAGGAAGGUCCCCCACACUGGUACUGAGACACGGACCAGACUCCUACGGGAGGCAGCAGUGAGGAAUAUUGGUCAAUGGGCGGAAGCCUGAACCAGCCAAGUCGCGUGAGGGAAGACGGUCCUAUGGAUUGUAAACCUCUUUUGCAGGGUGAGCAAAGCCGGCCUCGUGAGACCGGAAGGAGAGUACCCUGAGAAAAAGCAUCGGCUAACUCCGUGCCAGCAGCCGCGGUAAUACGGAGGAUGCGAGCGUUAUCCGGAUUUAUUGGGUUUAAAGGGUGCGCAGGCGGAGCGUUAAGUCAGCGGUAAAAAUGCGGGGCUCAACCCCGUACGGCCGUUGAAACUGACGCCCUUGUAGUGAGCGAGAAGUAUGCGGAAUGCGUGGUGUAGCGGUGAAAUGCAUAGAUAUCACGCAGAACUCCGAUUGCGAAGGCAGCAUACCGGCGCUCAACUGACGCUCAGGCACGAAAGCGUGGGUAUCAAACAGGCUUAGAUACCCUGGUAGUCCACGCAGUAAACGAUGAAUGCUAACUGUCCGGGGCGAUUAAGUCCUGGGUGGUACAGCGAAAGCGUUAAGCAUUCCACCUGGGGAGUACGCCGGCAACGGUGAAACUCAAAGGAAUUGACGGGGGCCCGCACAAGCGGAGGAACAUGUGGUUUAAUUCGAUGAUACGCGAGGAACCUUACCCGGGCUCAAACGCACAGUGACUGUCUGUGAAAGCAGAUUUUCCCUUCGGGGACAGUGUGCGAGGUGCUGCAUGGUUGUCGUCAGACUCGUGCCGUGAGGUGUCGGCUUAAGUGCCAUAACGAGCGCAACCCCUAUCGACAGUUGCUAACAGGUGAAGCUGAGGACUCUGUCGAGACUGCCGGCGCAAGCUGUGAGGAAGGCGGGGAUGACGUCAAAUCAGCACGGCCCUUACGUCCGGGGCGACACACGUGUUACAAUGGCAGGUACAGCGGGAAGCCAUGCGGCGACGCAGAGCAGAACCCGAAAACCUGUCUCAGUUCGGAUUGGAGUCUGCAACCCGACUCCAUGAAGCUGGAUUCGCUAGUAAUCGCGCAUCAGCCACGGCGCGGUGAAUACGUUCCCGGGCCUUGUACACACCGCCCGUCAAGCCAUGGAAGCCGGGAGUGCCUGAAGUACGCGACCGCAAGGAGCGUCCUAAGGUAAAACCGGUGACUGGGGC